UACUCCAGCUCCAGGUAUCCAACACCUACCACAGGGCUCAGAGUUUCCUCUCCAUGGUCUUCUGAGCUGAGAGAAGGUGGGUCAGUGAUGGCUCUCUGGUUUGUUCACAGGAUUAACUUCUUUGGACCCACGUGGAGUGUGACUGGAAGCCAAAGUCUCUUGAGAAGGCAAUUCUCAAGCUACAGACUAGCACAGGGAGUGCUAUGAAUUCAGGAAGAGCUCCGGGGUGGAUGCUUUUCCCAGCGUUUACAUCAGGCUGAAGGACAAACUGUCUCGAAUCAGGUGGGUCAUCAUGGAGCCUGGUAUCUGCUCGUACUUCUUGCGAAGCCGCACCUGAGGGCACGUGCACGCCUACAAACAGCUCUGGGCUAUCACCAAGUGGAAAAAGCAAAGGCCUGGAAAAUUGCAUGUGAACCAGGCUAGAGCCCACCGUGCUGCCCUUUCUCUGGGAUAAGAUCAUCCCUUCGGAUCCGCAAUGUUACACUGGCUGCUGUGACAGCAAGGCACAAGGCAACAAGGCCAGGAACUGCUUGAAUUUUUUUGAUUUGCUGAAACUGGAACUUUUCAGAGGUCCUGAUAAAACUUCCCUUAAGAACGUGUUUCAAACCCAGGAAGGAGUUUGUUGUCAGACGUAGAGAGAAUGAGAAACGGCCAGAUAAAAAGGGCAUGAACUCGCAGUGUGAGCAACAGAGACCAAACUCCCUGCCCAUCUCUCUCGAGACAAGAUGCAUGAACCCACCGUCCUGCAUGUGGUGCAGAAUGGGAGGCAACAAGAAAGUGACCAACACUGCUCUGUGGGAACAGCUGUACCCAGAUCUCCCCAAAGGAUUUGAACGCAGAUGCCAGGUGAUGUCUGACAAGAGUUUGUACCUUAGCCGCUCCUCUUUUAAGGCUGAGAUAUCUGGGGCUGACGUUUACCUCAGCAUGACGUACAGAAGCCGUGACCAGAGAGGUUCAGAAAGCAACAGCUGCACCUCAGGGAACAACUUCUCCUGCAGCACCCUGCGGAAUGGGAAAGGGCUUUCUGCUUGGCACAGUGAUGUGGAGAUACCCCUCAAAUGGAUGUGUUUGGAUAGGGAUCUACCCGAACUACCCCAGCAGGACCUUGUCCUUUUCCUGGGUCACCUGUGAUGACGUGACCUUGAUGCACCAGUUCGAGUAUGAUUUUGUUGAGCCCCUUUACCCCAACUUUUGGCUUUUAAUGAAAGCAAGCUGUCAGGAUAAUGUGACUGGGGGAAAACGCUGCAAAGAUCCCAGCCUCCUUGCCUUCCUUUGUGGAGCUGCUCCCCUGAAACCAUCUGAUUCAGAAGAACUGUCCAGUGCUUCGGUUAUGGUGUGAUGCCAGUGCUUUUGCUGCAGGUAGCUGGGCGAAGAAGGGAGAGGUGUUUCAGUAAAGACUCUGGUAACCAAAUGUGGUUCUGAGCAUCCCAUAAUUUAGAGGUGGACAAGGCUUGCGAGUUCAUGCAGUUACUUGUCCGGGGGUCCGUGCAGAUUGUUCCCACCAGUAUAUCCAUUAAUACUGUGUUUAGCAUGAGUUAAAACUUUCUUUUAAUAUUUUUCCCCCCAAGGAUGGUGGCGUGCCUCUGCCCUGACGUGCUGGCCUUACCGAGCCCGUGCAAGCGAGCAGGCAGAAGCGAGGCAGACCAAGGUUGUGUUGCCAUUCUCCCUGCUGUGCCUGGAUAAACGGUCUCAGCCCCCAGCUCAGUUUCCAGCUGGCUCCAGGAUCAGGGUGGCACUGGGGCAGUGAAAGGUCCCCUUCGGUCCUCCCGCCCCCAGGUCUGCGCUGAGAACAAAGAGCUGAGAGUGAGGCUGGUGCAGGCAUUGCUUCUGGCAGGAGAGGCCACGCAGUGACCCCCAGGAACAGCCUGGAACCCCCUGCCUUCUCCAGAGGUAACCGGGGAGCGGGUGGGAAGCGCGGCCCCGAGCAGAGGAGCAGCAGCUCAGCUUCCACCCCGCAGGAGGGUGCUCUCAGCCCGCUGCUGGCCCCGCUGCCUUCCUCUCCCCCCUCCUCUCCCCCCUCCUCUGGCAGCCGUAGCAGGGACAGGGCCCUGCAGCCCCCAGCACCCGCGGGGCACGGGCACCCCGAUGGUCCCCCCCUUCCCUGUCCCCCGACCUCCCGCCACCCCCAGCCCUGCCGCUGCGCCCUCCUCGCUCGCUGCCGCGGGACCCCACAGGGGUCCCACGUUAAAGGUGGGUGACUGAGGGGUGCUCCCCUGUUGGGUGAUGUCUUAGCACCCCUGCACCCUGCCCACGCUCCCCUUCCCCUUGGGAGAGUCGCUCUUGAGCGCGGCUUUCGGAGCCCCACGGUGGCAGGGGGGACGGUGUAAGAGGUCCCAUCGCGGGUUAAUUUAGCUGUGCACCCUGCAGAGUGACCUUUGCAGUCCCCUCGUGCCCAGGGCCAGGGGUGGGAGGCACGGAAAAGUCCCCGCACACGCUGUUGCUGUCAGCAGGAUGGGCCAAGCUGCGGGCAGCAGACUGGUGCAGCUGCAGGGGCUGCUGAGAAACGAAAUACUUCCACCCUCCAUAAGUCAGCAGAGCCAGAAGGAGAAAGAAGCUUUUACAAAGCGCUUUGCAGGGGAGGGGAGUCCAUAAUCGGCCCAUUCUGCAAGUGGGGAAACUGAGGCAGGGACUGGGGAAAGCGUUUGCCAGCCGUCACCUAGCAGAGAUAUGGCUUUAGGUCUCAGGGUGCCUGGUCGGCACUGGCCCAAAUGCAGUGUUAGUACCAAGUUACUGCCUUUAUCCCAGGUACUUUCUGCCUUGGGCUGUGAUGGAUAAACAUUUAUUGUGCUCUGUCCUCAUUUUGCCUGGGAUAGAGUUAAUUUUCUUCCUAGCAGCUGAUAUACUGUUGUGCUUUGGAUUUAGUAUGGGCAUAACAUGUGGUAACACACUGAUAUUUUAGUUGUUGUUAAGUAGUGCUUAUACUAAAACAAGGACUUUUCAGCUUCCCAUGCUCUGCUGGGUACACAAGAAGUUGGGAGGGGGCACAGCCAGGACAGCUGACCCCAACUGGCCAAAGGGAUAUUCCAUACCGUAUGAUGUUACGCUCAGCACAUAAACGAGGGGGAGUUGGCUGGGGGGCAGCGAUCGUGGGUCAGGGACAGGCUGAGCAUCAGUUGGCAGCAGGUGAGUGGAUGCAUCACUUGUUUUUCCUGAGUUUUCUUCCUCUCUCUUUUAUUAUUUAUUAUUAUUAUUAACAAUAAUAUUAAU
Phalacrocorax carbo (great cormorant) is the source of this 3207-nucleotide non-coding RNA. The record is from RefSeq and is a predicted model, not a curated record. NCBI's taxonomy places the organism in Eukaryota, Metazoa, Chordata, Aves, Suliformes, Phalacrocoracidae.